RNAcentral lists this ribosomal RNA (253 nucleotides) under uncultured bacterium. RNAcentral's name for it is "partial 16S ribosomal RNA". It matches the Rfam family "Bacterial small subunit ribosomal RNA", at positions 524 to 776 of the family's 1533-position model. The record is from RNAcentral.
UACGUAGGGUGCAAGCGUUAAUCGGAAUUACUGGGCGUAAAGCGUGCGCAGGCGGUUUUGUAAGGCUGUCGUGAAAGCCCCGGGCUCAACCUGGGAAUUGCGAUGGAGACUGCAAGGCUUGAAUCUGGCAGAGGGGGGUAGAAUUCCACGUGUAGCAGUGAAAUGCGUAGAGAUGUGGAGGAACACCGAUGGCGAAGGCAGCCCCCUGGGUCAAGAUUGACGCUCAUGCACGAAAGCGUGGGGAGCAAACAGG